AGUGAACGCUGGCGGUAGGCCUAACACAUGCAAGUCGAACGGCAGCACAGGAGAGCUUGCUCUCUGGGUGGCGAGUGGCGGACGGGUGAGGAAUACAUCGGAAUCUGCCCAGUCGUGGGGGAUAACGUAGGGAAACUUACGCUAAUACCGCAUACGACCUUCGGGUGAAAGAGGGGGAUCGCAAGACCUCUCGCGAUUGGAUGAGCCGAUGUCGGAUUAGCUAGUUGGCGGGGUAAUGGCCCACCAAGGCGACGAUCCGUAGCUGGUCUGAGAGGAUGAUCAGCCACACUGGAACUGAGACACGGUCCAGACUCCUACGGGAGGCAGCAGUGGGGAAUAUUGGACAAUGGGCGCAAGCCUGAUCCAGCCAUACCGCGUGGGUGAAGAAGGCCUUCGGGUUGUAAAGCCCUUUUGUUGGGAAAGAAAUCUUUCAGGCUAAUACCCUGGGAGGAUGACGGUACCCAAAGAAAAAGCACCGGCUAACUUCGUG
Molecule: ribosomal RNA, 490 nt
Filed under: uncultured bacterium
Lineage: Bacteria
Description: partial 16S ribosomal RNA
Rfam family: Bacterial small subunit ribosomal RNA
Source: RNAcentral